Molecule: ribosomal RNA, 2637 nt
Filed under: human gut metagenome
Description: bacterial LSU rRNA
Rfam family: Bacterial large subunit ribosomal RNA
Source: RNAcentral
AGGGCGCAUGGUGAAUGCCUUGGCAUCAGGAGCCGAUGAAGGACGUGAUAAGCUGCGAUAAGCUUCGGGUAGGCGCACAUAGCCUGAGAUCCGAAGAUCUCCGAAUGAGGAAACUCACAUGGGAAACCCCAUGUAUCAUUAAGUGAAUACAUAGCUUAAUGAAGGUAACCCAGGGAACUGAAACAUCUAAGUACCUGGAGGAAGAGAAAGAAAAAUCGAUUUUCUUAGUAGCGGCGAGCGAAAGGGAAAGAGCCCAAACCGGAAACUUGUUUCCGGGGUUGUGGACAUAACAUAAAAGUGGAGGCUAUUGUAACUGAAGAGAACUGGAAAGUUCCACCGUAGAAGGUAAUAGUCCUGUAAGUGAAACGAGAAGACCACGAGUUAUGAUCCAGAGUACCACGAGACACGUGAAACCUUGUGGGAAGCAGGGAGGACCACCUCCCAAGGCUAAAUACUACCUGAUGACCGAUAGUGAAGCAGUACCGUGAGGGAAAGGUGAAAAGAACCCCGGGAGGGGAGUGAAAUAGAACCUGAAACCGUGUGCCUACAACCGCUCAGAGCCCCUUAUGAGGGUGAUGAGGUGCUUUUUGUAGAACGAGCCAACGAGUUACGGUAUGUAGCAAGGUUAAGUACUUAAGGUACGGAGCCGAAGGGAAACCGAGUCUGAAUAGGGCGACUAGUUGCAUGCCGUAGACCCGAAACCGGGUGACCUAUCCAUGGCCAGGUUGAAGCGAGGGUAAAACCUCGUGGAGGACCGAACCACGUUGCUGUUGAAAAAGCAUGGGAUGAGCUGUGGAUAGCGGAGAAAUUCCAAUCGAACCCGGAGAUAGCUGGUUCUCUCCGAAAUAGCUUUAGGGCUAGCGUCGAGUAUGAGUAGUGGAGGUAGAGCACUGAAUGGGCUAGGGGGCAUAGCGCUUACCGAACCUUAUCAAACUCCGAAUGCCACAUACUUUGAGCUCGGCAGUCAGACUACGAAUGAUAAGAUCCGUGGUCAAAAGGGAAACAGCCCAGAUCGUCAGCUAAGGUCCCAAAGUGUAAGUUAAGUGGGAAAGGAUGUGAGAUUUCUAAGACAACUAGGAUGUUGGCUUAGAAGCAGCCAUUCAUUAAAAGAGUGCGUAAUAGCUCACUAGUCGAGAGAUCUUGCGCCGAAAAUGUAACGGGGCUAAACUUACCACCGAAGCUACGGGCUUGAACUUAGUUCAAGCGGUAGGAGAGCGUCGUAACCGGGCUGAAGUCGUACCGUAAGGAGCGGUGGACUGGUUACGAGUGAGAAUGUUGGCAUCAGUAGCGAGAUGUGGGUGAGAAUCCCACAGGCCGAAAACCUAAGGUUUCCUCAGGAAGGUUCGUCCGCUGAGGGUUAGUCGGGACCUAAGCCGAGGCCGAAAGGCGUAGGUGAUGGACAACUGGUUGAUAUUCCAGUACCACUACCAUCGUUAUUAUCGAUGGCGUGACGCAGGAGGAUAGUGUGUGCUAGCUAUUGGAUGCUAGUCUAAGCGUUUAGGCAGUGAGAGUAGGCAAAUCCGCUCUCAUAAUGCUGAGGCGUGAUGGGGAAGGUUCUACGGAACCGAAGUACAUGAUUCCACGCUGCCAAGAAAAGCGUCUAGAGAGAGAAGUAGUGCCCGUACCGCAAACCGACACAGGUAGGUGAGGAGAGAAUCCUAAGGCCGGCGGAAGAAUUACAGUUAAGGAACUCGGCAAAUUGACCCCGUAAGUUCGCGAGAAGGGGUGCCUACGAGAGUAGGCCGCAGAGAAUAGGCCCAAGCAACUGUUUAGCAAAAACACAGGUCUCUGCUAAAGCGUAAGCUGAUGUAUAGGGGCUGACGCCUGCCCGGUGCUGGAAGGUUAAGGGGAACACUUAGCGCAAGCGAAGGUGUGAACUUAAGCCCCAGUAAACGGCGGCCGUAACUAUAACGGUCCUAAGGUAGCGAAAUUCCUUGUCAGGUAAGUUCUGACCCGCACGAAUGGCGUAAUGACUUGGGCACUGUCUCAACUGUAAAUCCGGCGAAGUUGUAGUGCGAGUGAAGAUGCUCGCUACCCGCGAUUGGACGGAAAGACCCCGUAGAGCUUUACUGUAGCUUAGCAUUGAGUUUUGGUAUUGUCUGUACAGGAUAGGUGGGAGACUAGGAAACCAGGGCGUCAGCCUUGGUGGAGUCAACCUUGGGAUACCACCCUGACAGUACUGAAAUUCUAACUGGCGGCCAUGAAUCUGGUCACAGGACAUUGUUAGGUGGGCAGUUUGACUGGGGCGGUCGCCUCCUAAAAAGUAACGGAGGCGCCCAAAGGUUCCCUCAGAACGGUCGGAAAUCGUUCGAAGAGUGCAAAGGCAGAAGGGAGCCUGACUGCGACACCCACAAGUGGAGCAGGGACGAAAGUCGGGCUUAGUGAUCCGGUGGUACCUCGUGGGAGGGCCAUCGCUCAACGGAUAAAAGCUACCUCGGGGAUAACAGGCUGAUCUCCCCCAAGAGUCCACAUCGACGGGGAGGUUUGGCACCUCGAUGUCGGCUCGUCGCAUCCUGGGGCUGAAGUAGGUCCCAAGGGUUGGGCUGUUCGCCCAUUAAAGCGGCACGCGAGCUGGGUUCAGAACGUCGUGAGACAGUUCGGUCCCUAUCCGUCGCGGGCGUAGGAAAUUUGAGAGGA